RNAcentral lists this ribosomal RNA (280 nucleotides) under Bacillus sp. 7G. Its description in RNAcentral is "partial 16S ribosomal RNA". It matches the Rfam family "Bacterial small subunit ribosomal RNA", at positions 1080 to 1361 of the family's 1533-position model. The record is from RNAcentral. Lineage: Bacteria; Bacillati; Bacillota; Bacilli; Caryophanales; Bacillaceae.
UUAAGUCCCGCAACGAGCGCAACCCUUGAUCUUAGUUGCCAUCAUUAAGUUGGGCACUCUAAGGUGACUGCCGGUGACAAACCGGAGGAAGGUGGGGAUGACGUCAAAUCAUCAUGCCCCUUAUGACCUGGGCUACACACGUGCUACAAUGGACGGUACAAAGAGCUGCAAGACCGCGAGGUGGAGCUAAUCUCAUAAAACCGUUCUCAGUUCGGAUUGUAGGCUGCAACUCGCCUACAUGAAGCUGGAAUCGCUAGUAAUCGCGGAUCAGCAUGCCGCG